CUGGGCUACGGGGACAUGUACCCCAUGACGUGGUCGGGGAUGCUGGUGGGCGCGCUGUGCGCGCUGGCGGGCGUGCUCACCAUCGCCAUGCCCGUGCCCGUCAUCGUCAACAAC
Patagioenas fasciata monilis is the source of this 114-nucleotide regulatory RNA element. It matches the Rfam family "Potassium channel RNA editing signal". From Rfam's summary of the family: This family represents a group of sequences related to the human potassium channel Kv1.1 hairpin element which directs the efficient modification of an adenosine to inosine by an adenosine deaminase acting on RNA (ADAR). The ADAR modification causes an isoleucine/valine recoding event which lies in the ion-conducting pore of the potassium channel. It is thought that this editing event targets the process of fast inactivation and allows a more rapid recovery from inactivation at negative potentials. The record is from Rfam. NCBI's taxonomy places the organism in Eukaryota, Metazoa, Chordata, Aves, Columbiformes, Columbidae.